RNAcentral lists this ribosomal RNA (450 nucleotides) under uncultured bacterium. Its description in RNAcentral is "partial 16S ribosomal RNA". It matches the Rfam family "Bacterial small subunit ribosomal RNA", at positions 354 to 796 of the family's 1533-position model. The record is from RNAcentral.
GUGGGGAAUCUUCCGCAAUGGACGAAAGUCUGACGGAGCAACGCCGCGUGAACGAUGACGGCCUUCGGGUUGUAAAGUUCUGUUAUACGGGACGAAUGGUACGACGGCCAAUACCCGUCGUAAGUGACGGUACCGUAAGAGAAAGCCACGGCUAACUACGUGCCAGCAGCCGCGGUAAUACGUAGGUGGCAAGCGUUGUCCGGAAUUAUUGGGCGUAAAGGGCGCGCAGGCGGCGUCGUAAGUCGGUCUUAAAAGUGCGGGGCUUAACCCCGUGAGGGGACCGAAACUGCGAUGCUAGAGUAUCGGAGAGGAAAGCGGAAUUCCUAGUGUAGCGGUGAAAUGCGUAGAUAUUAGGAGGAACACCAGUGGCGAAAGCGGCUUUCUGGACGACAACUGACGCUGAGGCGCGAAAGCCAGGGGAGCAAACGGGAUUAGAAACCCUUGUAGUCC